Molecule: ribosomal RNA, 663 nt
Filed under: uncultured cyanobacterium
Lineage: Bacteria; Bacillati; Cyanobacteriota
Description: bacterial SSU rRNA
Rfam family: Bacterial small subunit ribosomal RNA
Source: RNAcentral
CGGACGGGUGAGUAACGCGUGAGAAUCUACCUUCAGGUUGGGGACAACCACUGGAAACGGUGGCUAAUACCGAAUGUGCCGAGAGGUGAAAGGCUUGCUGCCUGAAGAAGAGCUUGCGUCUGAUUAGCUAGUUGGUAGUGUAAGAGACUACCAAGGCGACGAUCAGUAGCUGGUCUGAGAGGAUGAUCAGCCACACUGGGACUGAGACACGGCCCAGACUCCUACGGGAGGCAGCAGUGGGGAAUUUUCCGCAAUGGGUGAAAGCCUGACGGAGCAAUACCGCGUGAGGGAGGAAGGCUCUUGGGUUGUAAACCUCUUUUCUCAGGGAAGAACAGAAUGACGGUACCUGAGGAAUAAGCAUCGGCUAACUCCGUGCCAGCAGCCGCGGUAAUACGGAGGAUGCAAGCGUUAUCCGGAAUGAUUGGGCGUAAAGGGUCCGCAGGUGGCAUUGUAAGUCUGCUGUUAAAGAGUUUGGCUCAACCAAAUAAGAGCAGUGGAAACUACAAAGCUAGAGUGUGGUCGGGGCAGAGGGAAUUCCUGGUGUAGCGGUGAAAUGCGUAGAUAUCAGGAAGAACACCAGUGGCGAAGGCGCUCUGCUAGGCCGAGACUGACACUGAGGGACGAAAGCUAGGGGAGCGAAUGGGAUUAGAUACCCCAGUAGUC